AUCGACAAGGUAAAAAAAAUAAAAAUAUUUAAUUAACUAAAAAAGUUUCAAAAUAAAACUAAUCAAGGUAAGUAAAAAUAAUAAUUAAUUGUUUUAGCACUAAAAUAAAAUAAAAUUACUUAAAUAAAAGUUAGAACAUUAUCUAGCUCAUUCGUGUUUCGAUUAAUAUUAUUUUACAAUAAUCAAUCUAAUAAAAAAUUUCACCGUCAC
RNAcentral lists this long non-coding RNA (210 nucleotides) under Gossypium raimondii (Peruvian cotton). RNAcentral describes it as "long non-coding RNA (GRAI_LNC008570)". The record is from RNAcentral. Lineage: Eukaryota; Viridiplantae; Streptophyta; Magnoliopsida; Malvales; Malvaceae.